AUAUCGAUGGAUAGAAAUGUUGAUUGGCUGUGUAAACAACGUCUCGAGUGAUGUCGAUGUAACAAUUCCAAGGACGAAUCUAGCGACGACUUAUGAAAUGGUCACGUGAUUAAAGAAAUCAAUGCCAUCGACUAUUAAGGCAGGGAGUUAGGAAUCUUCCGUAUAUAAAAUAAAGGUUUUAAUUUUAUUAAUUUUAUCAGCUUGGCCAUCACCUCAUCACCAGUGACGAGUCAAUUGGAAGGUUGAAAGAUGGAGUUCAAAGGGGUAGGAUCAGGACUGGACUAUUCCUUCAGUUGUUGUGCAAAUGCUUUACCACAAUGCCAUCUGGUCACUUAUCAUAUUAAGAUAAAAAUCAGGCAGCCUUAUCACAUUAAGACACUGGUUUCAAAACUUUCCAUGUUUACACCCCUCCCUUUUUCUAUAAAAAAUUGCUAUGCUUCUCAUUUUCAUAAUAGUCUAAUUUUAUAAAUACUUUCUAUUUACAAUUUAAUACUAUAAAAAAU
This 503-nucleotide long non-coding RNA is filed under the name Androctonus crassicauda. Lineage: Eukaryota; Metazoa; Arthropoda; Arachnida; Scorpiones; Buthidae. The record is from RNAcentral.